RNAcentral lists this ribosomal RNA (492 nucleotides) under uncultured bacterium. Its description in RNAcentral is "partial 16S ribosomal RNA". It matches the Rfam family "Bacterial small subunit ribosomal RNA", at positions 29 to 507 of the family's 1533-position model. The record is from RNAcentral.
AGUGAACGCUGGCGGUAGGCCUAACACAUGCAAGUCGAACGGCAGCACAGUAAGAGCUUGCUCUUACGGGAGGCGAGUGGCGGACGGGUGAGGAAUACAUCGGAAUCUACUUUUUCGUGGGGGAUAACGUAGGGAAACUUACGCUAAUACCGCAUACGACCUACGGGUGAAAGCAGUGGAUCUUCGGACCUUGCGCGAUUGAAUGAGCCGAUGUCGGAUUAGCUAGUUGGCGGGGUAAAGGCCCACCAAGGCGACGAUCCGUAGCUGGUCUGAGAGGAUGAUCAGUCACACUGGAACUGAGACACGGUCCAGACUCCUACGGGAGUCAGCAGUGGGGAAUAUUGGACAAUGGGCGGAAGCCUGAUCCAGCCAUACCGCGUGGGUGAAGAAGGCCUUCGGGUUGUAAAGCCCUUUUGUUGGGAAAGAAAAGCAGCAGGUUAAUGACCCGCUGUUCUGACGGUACCCAAAGAAUAAGCACCGGCUAACUUCGUG